RNAcentral lists this long non-coding RNA (1102 nucleotides) under Cyanistes caeruleus (blue tit). RNAcentral describes it as "lncRNA (ENSCCEG00000008494.1)". The record is from RNAcentral. Lineage: Eukaryota; Metazoa; Chordata; Aves; Passeriformes; Paridae.
AACUUAUCAGAGAAGUCUUGAAUCACAUUUAUGCUCUGUUUCAUUUCACAGACUGGGCCAGAUGAGGUAGGUUCAUGGAGCACCACUGGGGUAAGUGCUGCCAUGGAGGACAUCACCAGGUGCGUAUUUGGAUUCUCUUUUAAUUUACUAGACAGACCAUGUGUGUGCUGUGUGUGGAGAGGAAAUCUCCUCUCCUCUCAGUCCUCCACUGGUGUUGAAGAAUAGAAAAACUAUAGUAUCUUGAACCAUCUAUCUGAACCUAGGAGCAUGUAGACACUCCCCCCUCCCAUGUGCAGGGCAUCAUACAGAAAGAGGAGAAAAUGGACAAUAUAUUAAAUAACUUAAAAUUUCUCACAAUGGUCAAUUUCAGAUAAGCAAAAGCAGUAGCAAAUGGAAAUUCUGAGACAGGACCGGUCAGCCUGACUUGCAACAACCUCCCCAUAUCACCUGACCUGGCUGUUGUCAAGACACUUUUUGGGAAGUCACCAUUCUUCUAGUGUGGAAAACUCCAUAUAUUCUCCACUUACAUCUGCAGUCCUUCUGGGUGAAGAGAAAAUUCAAACUCUUGACCCAAGAUACGUAGCAUGGCUAUGUAUUCAUCGCUGUUUGAAUAAGCAUGUCAGGAGUUUCAUGACACAAAGUUUCUUCAAAGGGAAGGAACUAUGGUUAGCAUAACAUCUGGCAGUGUUGACGUAACCUAAUGUUUAAUUCACAUCAUCUGUUGCCAGUCAGAGACACUCAGAGAUGCAGCAUUUUAAAAUAUAAUUGUUCUAAACUCUGGGCACAAAAUUUCACACUGAAGAUUUGGGGGAAGUUCCGUUUUCUGCUGUGCACAUGUGACACAUCAUCCUUCUGGCUCAAACUGAAUGUCAGCGGUGUAUGAUUUGGCUGAACAUCAUAUCAUGUUCCCUGAUAGACAUCUGUGACUUUUUCACCUAGGAAGAUAAAUGGAAAAAGGUGAAAGUAUCUUGUCUGAUUUUAGCCAGUCAUUAAAACACUCAUGAGAUAUAAGAGCCUUUCCAUUGAUGCCUUGGGGAGGCCACCUAGAACAGAGGCUAGACAAAGUUAAGAGAAUAAAGUGGGUAUUUAUUAAAUACCUUCA